AUCCGUAGGGUGCGAGCGUUGUCCGGAAUUACUGGGCGUAAAGAGCUCGUAGGUGGUUUGUCGCGUCGUCUGUGAAAUUCCGGGGCUUAACUCCGGGCGUGCAGGCGAUACGGGCAUAAUUUGAGUAUUGUAGGGGAGACUGGAAUUCCUGGUGUAGCGGUGAAAUGCACAGAUAUCAGGAGGAACACCGGUGGCGAAGGGGGGUCUCUGGGCAGUAACUGACGCUGAGGAGCGAAAGCAUGGGUAGCGAACAGGAUUAGAUACCCUGGUAGUCCAUGCCGUAAACGGUGGGCGCUAGGUGUAGGGGUCUUCCACGACUUCUGUGCCGUAGCUAACGCAUUAAGCGCCCCGCCUGGGGAGUACGGCCGCAAGGCUAAAACUCAAAUGAAUUGACGGGG
Molecule: ribosomal RNA, 398 nt
Filed under: uncultured bacterium
Lineage: Bacteria
Description: partial 16S ribosomal RNA
Rfam family: Bacterial small subunit ribosomal RNA
Source: RNAcentral